Molecule: long non-coding RNA, 457 nt
Filed under: Phoenix dactylifera (date palm)
Lineage: Eukaryota; Viridiplantae; Streptophyta; Magnoliopsida; Arecales; Arecaceae
Description: long non-coding RNA (PDAC_LNC010033)
Source: RNAcentral
AAGACUCCACACGCCAAGGAAAAUCUUCAAGGAUUAUGCACGUGCAAAGACGUCAUCUGAUUUUCUUCCUUCACGCUUGACUUCUUCAUGCGUUGAGGGUUAUUUCUCCCCUUCACGUGAUGAGAGUCUUUCUCCAAGUAAAACUCCUCAAGGGGUGCCAAAUCAUGGAGAUAAGAUUUCCUAAAAAUCAGCAAGGAUAGAUCAUCAUACGUGAAGAUUUUCUAGUGAAAGGAGGACUCUUUCUUGCGGCAUGAAUCUCUCCUCCAUGCCUCCUAAUAUUCAGCCAACUGAUUGCCACAUGGCACUCAAUGACAAGGACUCAAUGCCAACUAAUAUAAUUGAGCAAUUAAAAACCAAUUUAAGGAUCCAAUGUAAACAAGCUAGCCAACAAAAUAUAAAUGAAUCCAAACUACAUGCGCACACCAAACUAGAAUGGACUCAAUCAUCAAACACAAAU